Molecule: RNA transcript, 3451 nt
Organism: Panicum hallii
Lineage: Eukaryota; Viridiplantae; Streptophyta; Magnoliopsida; Poales; Poaceae
Gene name: F-box/kelch-repeat protein At1g26930-like
Exons: 5
Source: RefSeq, a predicted model, not a curated record
UUUCACAGUUGGAGUUGCUGAUAGAAUACAAAAACAGGGGGGGGAGAGAGAGAGAGAGAGAGAGAGAGAGAGAGAGAGAGAAGACAGGGGAAGGAGGGAGGGAGGAAAAAAAACCGGGAGAGGGGAGGUGGGGGAGAGAUAAACACAGCGAGGCCUCUGGCUCGGCGGCGCCCGAGAUGCGGCUCCACUGUUCUCCUUCCGGCGGCGCGCCGCUGCGGGAGGCGCCAAUGGCGCUGGACUGAUCUGUGAGUCGUCCGCUUCUCAAGUGCCGGCGGCGGUUGAAGGUCAGACCUUGCCGGUGGAAUGCACGGGCGGCGAGGCGGCAAGGCAUGUUACUUCUCGCGCAAUUCGAGAUCGGUUCCCCUGAUUGCGCUCAUUUCUUGAUUGCUUCGGAGGUUCAAUCCUGAAUUUAAGGAGGGGAAAAGCGGCCGUUUCCAGUUUGCAACUAGUUUGCUUGUGUAGAUUUGGCUGCUGGGAGAUUCAUGCAGCCUUUAGGAUUGCUGAGGAGUCGUUGUGAAGUUUGAAGGCUGUUCUGGUGAUGUUGGGGGACCAGCGCAUGGUAUCGGCCUUAGACUCAGCAAGCUCGUCAAGCUCGGCCCCUGAUUUGACCCUCUCUGAAGAGCUCAGUUCUGGAAGCAGCAACUGUGUGACUGAGAGCCUGCAGGUGGCUUGGGCAGAGAAGGGAGGACAGGUGGAGGCUGUGGUGAAUUGUUAUAGCAAGAAGAAUAAGGUUGGCAGUGUUUCAGGGAAUCCUGCAACCGAAUCUUGGGGCUCUGGGAUGGAGGAUGCUGAUCAGAAUGGCGAAGUCAACACAAAUGAGCUCAUCGGCGGGAUCGGUCGGGAGUUGACCAUCUCCUGCCUGCUCCGUCUUCCCCGGUCCUACUAUUAUGACGUGGCAUGUGUCAACCGGUCUUUCUACUCCCUUGUAAGGUCUGGGGAGCUUUAUAGGUUGAGACGGGAGGUCCGGAUUGUCGAGCAGAUGAUCUAUUGCUCAUGCAAUGUGCUCGAGUGGGAUGGUUUUGAUCCAUGCCGCCAACGGUGGUUCAGCAUCACUUCCAUGCCUGCCAUAGAAUGCUUCACACUUGCUGAUAAAGAAUCCCUGGCUGUGGGCACCAAUAUCCUUGUCUUCGGGAGGAGGGUGGAGGCCCAUGUUGUGCUGAGGUAUAGCCUUCUAACUAACUCCUGGACAACUGGGGAGAUGAUGAACACACCGAGGUGCUUGUUUGGCUCAGCAAGCUUCGGUGAGAAGGCUAUUGUAGCUGGUGGUAUCGGUGAGAAUGGUACAUUGAGCUCUGCUGAGCUUUAUGAUUCUGAGAUGCAGACCUGGACCACUCUUCCAAGCAUGAACAAGGCGCGGCAGAUGUGCUCUGGUUUCUUCAUGGAUGGCAAGUUCUAUGUCAUUGGGGGGAAGGCUGAGAAGCACAAUGAGAUCCUUAGUUGUGCUGAGGAGUUUGAUUUGGAGAAUGGCACUUGGCGAUUGAUCCCAGAUAUGGCGCGAGGCCUUAAUGGUGGGAGUGGUGCUCCACCUCUUGUUGCUGUUGUGAAUAAUGAACUUUAUGCUGCUGAUUAUGCAUCAAAGGAGGUUAGAAAGUAUGAUAAGGUAAAUAAUGCUUGGAUCACUCUUGGAUCAUUACCUGGGAGGUAUACAUCAGUUCAUGGCUGGGGCUUAGCUUUUCGCAGCUGUGGAGAUAUGCUCAUUGUCAUUGGUGGAAUGAGUGUUGGUGGUAGUGGGGUGAUUGAAAUUUGUUCCUGGGUACCCAAUAAUGGACUGCCUGAUUGGAAGAUUAUUGGCACCCGCCAUUCAGGAAGCUUUGUAUACAACUGUGCUGUGAUGAGUUGUUGACAUACAAGGGCUAUUACAUUAUCAAAACUGUACAUCUUGACCAAAAGGAAGGAUAAAGAAGGCAAAUUCUGCUGAGCCUGUUUACUACAUGAUGGGGAAUUUCUGUCCCCUGGCAUUUUAGGCUGAGCUGAAGUGGAUGAUCUUAGGGAUAUCAAAAGAAUAUAGGAUUCCUAGUACAUGAGCAUUAUCACCACAGCUGCAACAUGGAAGGAGUCCAGUUUGAGGCUUGCAGGGAUAAUUUCAGUGGAGAACAAACUAAAGCAUGGAACAAGUAUAUGGCAUUGUGCUUCGCCUGGAGAACCAAGAAAAGCAGAAGCAGAAAGGACAAGCAAUCAAACAAAUAGUGUUACUCACAAGUGCGACAAGUCUCUAAAAAAGAAUCGAAUCCAUCCCUACAUCUGAUGGAGAUGUUCUUUAAUUACAUGCCGUUGAUUUUUUUCCCACUAAUUGUUUAACCACAGGUUCGUCAUUUCCUUCAUAUGCGAUGCAGGGUUCAAGUUUGGUAGAAUCUCCAUCGUAACCGCUCCAUUAGCUGCAUGUGUCUUGGUGGCUACAUGGUGGUGAAGGUUUUGAUGGCAAGUAUCAAAACUCGAGCACUAUGAAUAAUCUAUGCAGGGGAAAUCAAUGGUGAGUAUGUAAAAGCUUCUUGCUUACACGUCUGAGUCAAUUUAGUCACAGUUGGUAUGAUGUAAAUCUGCCAUUUGGGUAUUUUAGAAAUUCCUCUCCAAAGCAAGAUGGGGCAUAAAGUUAUCGCUAAGGAAUUUGUCCUGCGCUAUAUUGUUCUUGAUGCACCUACUUUGGUGCAUAAAGUUGCUAAUGUCACUGCUUUAUGGUCAUGAUGUGUCUAUAUUUUGUUGGUUUGUAGUCCAAUGAUGUGUUCCCCCCUAUUAAUUUGCUCAGGUCACAACCUAGAAAGUUAGAUUAGAUGCAACUCAAUGGGCUGAAGGAUGUGCUCAAUUAUUUUGUGGAUGUUGCCCUUGUCCUUGAGAAGGGAAGUCAUUACCAAACGUAUUGAAAAAGUCCAACUGAGGCAGACUCAAGUGAUGAUGCCUCAGGACUCAGGCCAGUCUUGUGUAUCCUUCACUUGCCAUUUGCUGUACGAGGCAAAAGGCAAUGCCAAUAGGGACUUCAAAAUUUUGUCACAAGCUUAUUACUUCGUAACUUCGUUGGUGUUGUCAUCUCAGGAAAUGGAUGAGUGCAGGUUACCGAACAUUACAUGUUGGAAAAAAUGGUGCUCUUGCAUUGGCUGCGAUUACAGCUUGGCAGGUAUCUAUGCCUUCAGUUCCCUUGUGGUCCAUAACAGAAUGCUCAUUGCAUCUAAACUGGUAAAGUAUUACAUGGUGUGGCUGUGGCAUUCAGGUGCCCCUUAUGCUUUUGCAGUUCUUUGGUUCUUGAGGAAAAAAAAGGGAGAAAAUUUUCUUUGUAGAUUGCAACUUUGUGGUGUGUACCUGGGCAGUUGAGUGCUUUUAUCAUCACUCCAGUUAUUCUGAAUGAGCUGUUCUCCCAACUGCUAGACUAAGGUUGCAUAUAUGCACAUGGAUCAAGAUGUGUGCAGUUUUUCCUCAUUUAAGCUACAAUCCAAUUUCAACAGCUCCAGCCUUCUCCACA